Molecule: transfer RNA, 73 nt
Filed under: Stegodyphus mimosarum
Lineage: Eukaryota; Metazoa; Arthropoda; Arachnida; Araneae; Eresidae
Rfam family: tRNA
About the family: Transfer RNA (tRNA) molecules are approximately 80 nucleotides in length. Their secondary structure includes four short double-helical elements and three loops (D, anti-codon, and T loops).
Source: Rfam by way of RNAcentral
GCCUUUAUUGCGUAGUGGUCAGCGCGUUCGAUGCGUAACCGAGAGGUUUGUGGUUCGAUUCCCGGCGAAGGCG